This 869-nucleotide long non-coding RNA is filed under the name Betta splendens (Siamese fighting fish). RNAcentral's name for it is "lncRNA (ENSBSLG00000017462.1)". Lineage: Eukaryota; Metazoa; Chordata; Actinopteri; Anabantiformes; Osphronemidae. The record is from RNAcentral.
UAACACUGACUCUCAUGUUUCUGUGUCGUAUCAAACGCUGCCAAUCGGCUGCUUUUUGCAUCUUUAAACUUUUACCUCAUCCUUCCGCGAGGUUUAAUCCCCCAGCUUUAAAAACAACUGACUUUUGUGGAACUGCAGCUGUAUUCCCAGCGUGAUAUCAGAGGAGGAACCGCAUCCCAGAUCUUCAUCUCUGGAGCUGUGUCAGGACAAGCCGGGUCUGGACAAGCAUCAAACAGACAGGAACAAGUGUCCAGUUGGGUGCUCGUGUUGCUCCAUGCUUUGCGGUUGCGUACGGUUCAGGACAUCUGGAAGACCGCUCUCGUCUAUCCUCCUGUGGUCACCGCUGCUUUUAAUGGAACAAGCAACAGCACAGAAACUAAACUGGAAGCAGUAAAUUUAUUUAGGAACAGCAAACCUCCGCUCCGCUGCCUGUUUCUGCCACAAAAUCCUCCCCUGAGAGUCUGGACCCACGUACAGAACCAGGCCGUGCCCCGUCCGGUCGGAGCCGCGCUCGUGCUCAGCUGGAUGCUGCUCCUGUGGAUCUUGGCUUUAGGCGCGAAGAUCGAGGCUUCCCUGAACGCGAUGCGUGCGAGGGUCUGAGCCGCCUGACUUCUUCCCGUCAUCCGUUUGGCAGCUGUGAUGGACCCGAAACGUUGAACAACAGGCUCGGCGCUGGAGUUUGACGCUUGCUCAUCAGACGCGCCGGAGGACACACUGUACGUGCCGACGUUUGGAGCGUGCGUCUGCAGGACAGUGCAGCACAUGUGAGUCAUGGCCAAUGCAUUUAGGCACAAAUCCCCCGUUUUAAGUUUUACCCCGUCUCCUGUGCCAGUGAGUGCACAGUCUUUGAGAAUUAGACAACCUGGGCC